RNAcentral lists this ribosomal RNA (400 nucleotides) under Rhizobium sp. JEYF11. RNAcentral's name for it is "partial 16S rRNA". The stretch from base 73 to 400 matches the Rfam family "Bacterial small subunit ribosomal RNA", at positions 1 to 358 of the family's 1533-position model. Lineage: Bacteria; Pseudomonadati; Pseudomonadota; Alphaproteobacteria; Hyphomicrobiales; Rhizobiaceae. The record is from RNAcentral.
CACAGGAAACAGCUAUGACCAUGAUUACGCCAAGCUUGGUACCGAGCUCGGAUCCACUAGUAACGGCCGCCAGUGUGCUGGAAUUCGGCGGUUGGCUCAGAACGAACGCUGGCGGCAGGCUUAACACAUGCAAGUCGAGCGCCCCGCAAGGGGAGCGGCAGACGGGUGAGUAACGCGUGGGAAUCUACCUUUUGCUACGGAAUAACGCAGGGAAACUUGUGCUAAUACCGUAUGUGUCCUUCGGGAGAAAGAUUUAUCGGCAAGAGAUGAGCCCGCGUUGGAUUAGCUAGUUGGUGGGGUAAAGGCCUACCAAGGCGACGAUCCAUAGCUGGUCUGAGAGGAUGAUCAGCCACAUUGGGACUGAGACACGGCCCAAACUCCUACGGGAGGCAGCAGUGGG